GGAUUGUGGCUCAGCGGUAGAGCGCUCACCUAGCACAUGUGAGGCCCUGGGUUUGAUCCUCAGCACCA
RNAcentral lists this transfer RNA (68 nucleotides) under Marmota monax (woodchuck). Its description in RNAcentral is "tRNA.Ala". Lineage: Eukaryota; Metazoa; Chordata; Mammalia; Rodentia; Sciuridae. The record is from RNAcentral.